GAGUGCGGUGAAAUUCCUGGCGGGGGGAGCGGGAGGUGGCGGCGCUGAGGGCUCGGAGCAGGAGGCGGAGGGCGGCUCGGAGCCACGGCCGCGCUGCCCUGCCCGGGACCCUGCGUGCUGUGGCGGCCGGCGCCGAGCCAGACCCCCGGCGGGCGCGGAGCGGACGGGCUGAGGGACGCUCGCCGCCACCUCUCGCAGCGCCAGGAGCCGCGCCGUCCCCGCCGCCGCUGGGACUCCCUCCCCGGGCAGAGCGGGGGAGAAUGACGGAGCUCCAGUCCGCCUUGCUACUGCGGAGACAACUAGCAGAGCUCAACAAAAAUCCAGUGGAAGGCUUUUCAGCGGGCUUAAUAGAUGACAAUGAUCUUUAUCGAUGGGAAGUCCUUAUUAUUGGUCCUCCAGAUACACUAUAUGAAGGUGGUGUUUUCAAGGCUCAUCUUACUUUUCCAAAAGACUACCCACUGAGGCCGCCAAAAAUGAAAUUCAUCACAGAAAUCUGGCAUCCGAAUGUUGACAAGAACGGCGAUGUCUGCAUUUCAAUUCUUCAUGAGCCUGGAGAAGACAAAUAUGGCUAUGAAAAACCUGAGGAACGCUGGCUUCCCAUUCACACAGUGGAAACUAUAAUGAUUAGUGUUAUUUCUAUGCUGGCAGAUCCCAAUGGUGAUUCUCCUGCUAAUGUUGAUGCAGCGAAAGAAUGGAGAGAAGACAGAAAUGGAGAAUUUAAAAGAAAAGUUGCCCGCUGUGUAAGAAAAAGCCAAGAAACUGCUUUUGAGUGACACUUAUUCAGCAGCUAGUAGCUUCACUUUUUUCAGGGUGAUGAGUUUGGAUUUAUCCAUCUUCUGUUCAGAGGUCUCCAAUUGAGAAACAUGGCACUGUUUUUUUUCCUGCACUCUACCCACCUAUUGCUGGACUUCUGUUGUUACAAGUUGGCAAACACUGGCUGGAACUGGGCUGCAAUAAAACAUGCCAGUUAUCAAUGCUGACAAGAGCCUAACAAGUGCCAACACAAGAUGAUUACGCAUUUUGAAAUCUAAUGAACUGCUUUAACCUUCAGGAAGAAUUGUAAAGAUGUGUACAUAGCACAACAUGAUCCGGAUAAUAUAUAUACUGUUCAUGUACAUCCACAAAUACACAUUGUACCAAAUAAUGCUGUCUGUAGUUAGGGAUAGAAUUGUGUAAAUUCUAAAGAUUUUAGCAGGUUUUUUCUCUCCCUAUUCAUUGUUUCCUGAGUUAAAAAAAACAGCAACUUGUGAAGCAUGUCAAAACAAAUUAGGAUACUAAGUUGGUUUUUUUGGUUUUGGUUUUUUGUUCCUCCCACUUUAAUUUUCCUUUGACCCACCGAGGCUUAAUUAAAAUUUCUUGCUUAUUAAAGUUUAGUAUCUCUUUUUUUUUUUUUUUUUUUUUUUUGGGUUUUUGGAAAUGUGGUCCCCUUUUAUUUCCUCCAUCAGAACUUAACAAUUUUCCUAAUUAAACCCUGAAAGGAUUUGCUAUCAGUUACUUGUGUCUUCUUUUAUGAUGACCUUUGUAAUCUCAAAGGUGCUUUUUUUCUUCCCACCCGUUUUUUAAACUCAAUUACUCAUCCUUCUUGAAUUUGGUAUAGCAAUAAAACUGGCCAUGGAGCACCCUUGAGCAGCCUGAUGGAUUUUUAACUUCCAAGGACUUGAAUGCUUUCACUUGGAAGUUUGGUUGACUAAGUUAGACCAAGAUAGGAAUGAGCUGCUUUUUAUGGGUGAAAUUUUUGGUUUGCCUUUUUCAUUGCCUGUUUGUGGGGUGGGGUGUGUGGGGGGGAGGCUUGUUUUUUCUCAAGGUUGAGUUCAAGCAUGCACAUCUGUAGGCUUUCAAAUGACUAACUUCUGGGUUUGGUAUCAAAAAUAGUUUCCCUCCUUUUACUCUUUUCUGUGGCCCUUCAUCUGCUUUGCCUUCUAUCUACUUCAGAGUUUUCCUCACCUAAUGUACAAAGAAAAUGGCGAUGUAUAUUUUCAUGUAAUUUGAUUUUUGGAAUUCUGUCACCUUCUGUAGUGAGUUCUUCCAAAAUAUAAUUUUUUCCAAUAA
This is a non-coding RNA of Taeniopygia guttata (zebra finch), 2049 nucleotides long. The record is from RefSeq and is a predicted model, not a curated record. Lineage: Eukaryota; Metazoa; Chordata; Aves; Passeriformes; Estrildidae.